GUAGCAGGGUGGGAGGGAGCUACGGCUGGUGGCUGAUUCUCUGGGGUGACUGGGCAUGGGUUAUGGGAAUGGAGGAUGAUGUCCCUCAUCGGUUCCCAGAGAGUUGCCUCACUAGCACCCUGGAGCCUGUGAAUAGUGUUUAAAUCAAUGGUCAAAGUGAAGAGGGCAGCUUAGUCCUCAUUACUCCCCAGGACUAAUUGACCUCUUCUGAAAAGGUACAUUCUUGAUUUGGUGAGACUCUUCCUCAUCCGGAAAGAGGAGAACAAAGGCAUCACCAUCCUGAGAGUGUUUGUGAAGGACUCAUACAGACCGAACACUGCGCAGAGCCUGAUGACCUUUUCCUGCCCUGGAGAUUCUCAGUUUUGUCAUUUUGAUGAAUCUCUAAGUUGUGUUCACUGGAAAGAAGACAGAAAGCUUGGCUCAGCUAUGCUAACUUUCAGAAGGAGAAAAAAGCACCACGUUAGGACAGGGCCUGUUGGGACUCGCCGUGCUGCUGGUUCAUAAAUCUGAAGACAAGGAAACUAGACCUCCGUCAAUUUCCAAUCCCUUUUUCCUAUUGACCCCCACCCACUCUUCCCAGAUCACCAUUGGGAAUUUAGCUCUGAUUUUGAAUGCUGGGAACAGAGCUUGUGAAGACCCUGUAAGCCCUGGGAGGUUGAAAGGUGGCCAUUUGGUUUCUUCUCUGUGGAGAAGGGCAGGGGCUCCCUGCCCAGGCAAGGCCUCCAUUUGAGGACUCCCCUCGCAGGAGCCGAGCCCAUGGCCGGAUGGCUAUGUGGUCACUGAAGACUGGAAUCAGC
RNAcentral lists this long non-coding RNA (797 nucleotides) under Homo sapiens (human). Its description in RNAcentral is "HSALNT0079584". Lineage: Eukaryota; Metazoa; Chordata; Mammalia; Primates; Hominidae. The record is from RNAcentral.